Molecule: ribosomal RNA, 1343 nt
Filed under: uncultured bacterium
Lineage: Bacteria
Description: 16S ribosomal RNA
Rfam family: Bacterial small subunit ribosomal RNA
Source: RNAcentral
GACGAACGCUGGCGGCGUGCUUAACACAUGCAAGUCGAACGGAAAGGCCCUGCUUUUGUGGGGUGCUCGAGUGGCGAACGGGUGAGUAACACGUGAGUAACCUGCCCUUGACUUUGGGAUAACUUCAGGGAACUGGGGCUAAUACCGGAUAGGAGCUCCUGCUGCAUGGUGGGGGUUGGAAAGUUUCGGCGGUUGGGGAUGGACUCGCGGCUUAUCAGCUUGUUGGUGGGGUAGUGGCUUACCAAGGCUUUGACGGGUAGCCGGCCUGAGAGGGUGACCGGCCACAUUGGGACUGAGAUACGGCCCAGACUCCUACGGGAGGCAACAGUGGGGAAUAUUGCACAAUGGGCGGAAGCCUGAUGCAGCAACGCCGCGUGCGGGAUGACGGCCUUCGGGUUGUAAACCGCUUUCGCCUGUGACGAAGCGUGAGUGACGGUAAUGGGUAAAGAAGCACCGGCUAACUACGUGCCAGCAGCCGCGGUGAUACGUAGGGUGCGAGCGUUGUCCGGAUUUAUUGGGCGUAAAGGGCUCGUAGGUGGUUGAUCGCGUCGGAAGUGUAAUCUUGGGGCUUAACCCUGAGCGUGCUUUCGAUACGGGUUGACUUGAGGAAGGUUUUGGAGAAUGGAAUUCCUGGUGGAGCGGUGGAAUGCGCAGAUAUCAGGAGGAACACCAGUGGCGAAGGCGGUUCUCUGGGCCUUUCCUGACGCUGAGGAGCGAAAGCGUGGGGAGCGAACAGGCUUAGAUACCCUGGUAGUCCACGCUGUAAACGGUGGGUACUAGGUGUGGGGUCCAUUCCACGGGUUCCGUGCCGUAGCUAACGCUUUAAGUACCCCGCCUGGGGAGUACGGCCGCAAGGCUAAAACUCAAAGGAAUUGACGGGGCCCCGCACAAGCGGCGGAGCAUGCGGAUUAAUUCGAUGCAACGCGUAGAACCUUACCUGGGUUUGACAUGGAUCGGGAGUGCUCAGAGAUGGGUGUGCCUCUUUUGGGGUCGGUUCACAGGUGGUGCAUGGCUGUCGUCAGCUCGUGUCGUGAGAUGUUGGGUUAAGUCCCGCAACGAGCGCAACCCUUGUUCACUGUUGCCAGCACGUUAUGGUGGGGACUCAGUGGAGACCGCCGGGGUCAACUCGGAGGAAGGUGGGGAUGACGUCAAGUCAUCAUGCCCCUUAUGUCCAGGGCUUCACGCAUGCUACAAUGGCUGGUACAGAGAGUGGCGAGCCUGUGAGGGUGAGCGAAUCUCGGAAAGCCGGUCUCAGUUCGGAUUGGGGUCUGCAACUCGACCUCAUGAAGUCGGAGUCGCUAGUAAUUGCAGAUCAGCAACGCUGCGGUGAAUACGUUCCCGGG